GUAGGGGGCGAACGUUGUCCGGAUUUAUUGGGCGUAAAGAGCUCGUAGGCGGCUCAGCAAGUCGGCCGUGAAAACCCGGGGCUCAACCCCGGGACGCCGGUCGAAACUGCUGUGGCUAGGGUUCGGUAGAGGAGAGUGGAAUUCCCGGUGUAGCGGUGAAAUGCGCAGAUAUCGGGAGGAACACCAGUAGCGAAGGCGGCUCUCUGGGCCGAUACCGACGCUGAGGAGCGAAAGCUAGGGGAGCAAACAGGAUUAGAUACCCUGGUAGUCCUAGCCGUAAACGUUGGGCACUAGGUGUGGCGGACUCAUUGACGUCUGCCGUGCCGCAGCUAACGCAUUAAGUGCCCCGCCUGGGGAGUACGGUCGCAAGGCUA
Molecule: ribosomal RNA, 374 nt
Filed under: uncultured bacterium
Lineage: Bacteria
Description: bacterial SSU rRNA
Rfam family: Bacterial small subunit ribosomal RNA
Source: RNAcentral